This 72-nucleotide transfer RNA is filed under the name Capra hircus (goat). It matches the Rfam family "tRNA". From Rfam's summary of the family: Transfer RNA (tRNA) molecules are approximately 80 nucleotides in length. Their secondary structure includes four short double-helical elements and three loops (D, anti-codon, and T loops). Further hydrogen bonds mediate the characteristic L-shaped molecular structure. tRNAs have two regions of fundamental functional importance: the anti-codon, which is responsible for specific mRNA codon recognition, and the 3' end, to which the tRNAs corresponding amino acid is attached (by aminoacyl-tRNA synthetases). tRNAs cope with the degeneracy of the genetic code in two manners: having more than one tRNA (with a specific anti-codon) for a particular amino acid; and 'wobble' base-pairing, i.e. permitting non-standard base-pairing at the 3rd anti-codon position. RNAcentral also lists the same sequence under 1 other name. The record is from Rfam by way of RNAcentral. Lineage: Eukaryota; Metazoa; Chordata; Mammalia; Artiodactyla; Bovidae.
UCCCUUGUGGCUCAGCUGGUAAAGAAUCUGCCUGCAGUGCAGGAGACCUAGGUUCGAUCCCUGGGUUGGGAA